AGUGAACGCUGGCGGUAGGCCUAACACAUGCAAGUCGAACGGCAGCACAGGAGAGCUUGCUCUCUGGGUGGCGAGUGGCGGACGGGUGAGGAAUACAUCGGAAUCUACUCUGUCGUGGGGGAUAACGUAGGGAAACUUACGAUAAUACCGCAUACGACCUACGGGUGAAAGCAGGGGACCUUCGGGCCUUGCGCGAUUGAAUGAGCCGAUGUCGGAUUAGCUAGUUGGCGGGGUAAAGGCCCACCAAGGCGACGAUCCGUAGCUGGUCUGGGAGGAUGCUCAGCCACACUGGAACUGAGACACGGUCCAGACUCCUACGGGAGGCAGCAGUGGGGAAUAUUGGACAAUGGGCGCAAGCCUGAUCCAGCCAUACCGCGUGGGUGAAGAAGGCCUUCGGGUUGUAAAGCCCUUUUGUUGGGAAAGAAAUCCAGCUGGCUAAUACCCGGUUGGGAUGACGGUACCCAAAGAAUAAGCACCGGCUAACUUCGUGCCAGCCGCCGCGGUAA
This 506-nucleotide ribosomal RNA is filed under the name uncultured bacterium. Its description in RNAcentral is "partial 16S ribosomal RNA". It matches the Rfam family "Bacterial small subunit ribosomal RNA", at positions 29 to 523 of the family's 1533-position model. The record is from RNAcentral.